RNAcentral lists this ribosomal RNA (460 nucleotides) under uncultured bacterium. RNAcentral describes it as "partial 16S ribosomal RNA". It matches the Rfam family "Bacterial small subunit ribosomal RNA", at positions 338 to 795 of the family's 1533-position model. The record is from RNAcentral.
CCUACGGGAGGCAGCAGUGAGGAAUAUUGGACAAUGGCCGUAAGGCUGAACCAGCAAAGUCGCGUGAAGGAAGAAGGAUCUAUGGUUUGUAAACUUCUUUUAUAGGGGAAUAAAGGUAUCCACCUGUAGAUAUUAGCAUGUACCCUCUGAAUACGAGUCGGCUAACUCCGUGCCAGCAGCCGCGGUAAUUCGGAGGAUGCGAGCGUUAUCCGGAUUUAUUGGGUUUAAAGGGGGCGUAUGUGGUUUGUUAAGUCAGCAGUGAAAGUGUGUGGCUCAACCAUAAAAUUGCCGUUGAAACUGGAAGACUGGAGUGGGGGGGAGGUAGGCGGAAUGCGUGGUGUAGCGGUGAAAUGCAUAGAUAUCACGCAGAACGCCGAUUGCGAAGGCAGCUUACUAAGCCAUAACUGACACUGAAGCACGAAAGCGUGGGGAGCAAACAGGAUUAGAUACCCUAGGAGUC